RNAcentral lists this ribosomal RNA (523 nucleotides) under uncultured bacterium. RNAcentral describes it as "bacterial SSU rRNA". It matches the Rfam family "Bacterial small subunit ribosomal RNA", at positions 8 to 524 of the family's 1533-position model. The record is from RNAcentral.
AGAGUUUGAUCAUGGCUCAGGACGAACGCUGGCGGCGUGCUUAAUACAUGCAAGUCGAGCGAGGUUACUGUUUCGGAUCCCUUCGGGGUGAAGAAGCUUUAACCUAGCGGCGGACGGGUGAGUAACGCGUGUGUAACCUACCCCAAAGUCCGGGAUAACAGCGGGAAACCGCUGCUAAUACCGGAUGCCUUUACCUUGGGGCAUCUUGAGGUAAAGAAAGGUAACGCUUUGGGAUGGGCCCGCGUCCCAUUAGCUAGUUGGUGAGGUAACGGCUCACCAAGGCGACGAUGGGUAGCCGGCCUGAGAGGGUGGACGGCCACACUGGGACUGAGACACGGCCCAGACUCCUACGGGAGGCAGCAGUAGGGAAUAUUGCGCAAUGGACGGAAGUCUGACGCAGCGACGCCGCGUGAGCGAUGAAGGUCUUCGGAUCGUAAAGCUCUGUCCUUGGGGAAGAAGGCGAAAGCUUGACGGUACCCAAGAAGAAAGCCCCGGCUAACUACGUGCCAGCAGCCGCGGUAAU